CGGCAGGCCUAACACAUGCAAGUCGAGCGGUAGCACAGAGAGCUUGCUCUCGGGUGACGAGCGGCGGACGGGUGAGUAAUGUCUGGGAAACUGCCUGAUGGAGGGGGAUAACUACUGGAAACGGUAGCUAAUACCGCAUAAUGUCGCAAGACCAAAGUGGGGGACCUUCGGGCCUCAUGCCAUCAGAUGUGCCCAGAUGGGAUUAGCUAGUAGGUGGGGUAACGGCUCACCUAGGCGACGAUCCCUAGCUGGUCUGAGAGGAUGACCAGCCACACUGGAACUGAGACACGGUCCAGACUCCUACGGGAGGCAGCAGUGGGGAAUAUUGCACAAUGGGCGCAAGCCUGAUGCAGCCAUGCCGCGUGUGUGAAGAAGGCCUUCGGGUUGUAAAGCACUUUCAGCGGGGAGGAAGGCGUUAAGGUUAAUAACCUUGGCGAUUGACGUUACCCGCAGAAGAAGCACCGGCUAACUCCGUGCCAGCAGCCGCGGUAAUACGGAGGGUGCAAGCGUUAAUCGGAAUUACUGGGCGUAAAGCGCACGCAGGCGGUCUGUCAAGUCGGAUGUGAAAUCCCCGGGCUCAACCUGGGAACUGCAUUCGAAACUGGCAGGCUAGAGUCUUGUAGAGGGGGGUAGAAUUCCAGGUGUAGCGGUGAAAUGCGUAGAGAUCUGGAGGAAUACCGGUGGCGAAGGCGGCCCCCUGGACAAAGACUGACGCUCAGGUGCGAAAGCGUGGGGAGCAAACAGGAUUAGAUACCCUGGUAGUCCACGCCGUAAACGAUGUCGAUUUGGAGGUUGUGCCCUUGAGGCGUGGCUUCCGGAGCUAACGCGUUAAAUCGACCACCUGGGGAGUACGGCCGCAAGGUUAAAACUCAAAUGAAUUGACGGGGGCCCGCACAAGCGGUGGAGCAUGUGGUUUAAUUCGAUGCAACGCGAAGAACCUUACCUGGUCUUGACAUCCACAGAACUUUCCAGAGAUGGAUUGGUGCCUUCGGGAACUGUGAGACAGGUGCUGCAUGGCUGUCGUCAGCUCGUGUUGUGAAAUGUUGGGUUAAGUCCCGCAACGAGCGCAACCCUUAUCCUUUGUUGCCAGCGGUUAGGCCGGGAACUCAAAGGAGACUGCCAGUGAUAAACUGGAGGAAGGUGGGGAUGACGUCAAGUCAUCAUGGCCCUUACGACCAGGGCUACACACGUGCUACAAUGGCAUAUACAAAGAGAAGCGACCUCGCGAGAGCAAGCGGACCUCAUAAAGUAUGUCGUAGUCCGGAUUGGAGUCCGCAACUCGACUCCAUGAAGUCGGAAUCGCUAGUAAUCGUAGAUCAGAAUGCUACGGUGAAUACGUUCCCGGGCCUUGUACACACCGCCCGUCACACCAUGGGAGUGGGUUGCAAAAGAAGUAGGUAGCUUAACCUUCGGGAGGGCGCUUACCACUUUGUGAUUCAUGACUG
Molecule: ribosomal RNA, 1445 nt
Filed under: uncultured organism
Description: SSU rRNA
Rfam family: Bacterial small subunit ribosomal RNA
Source: RNAcentral